AGCAGCCGCGGUAAUUCCAGCUCCAAUAGCGUAUAUUAAAGUUGUUGCAGUUAAAAAGCUCGUAGUUGAAUUUCGGGAUCAAUGUUUCGGUCAUGCCGUUGGUAUGUACUGAUAUUAUUGAUUUCUCACCUUCUAAAGAACCGUAAUGCCAUUAAUUUGGUGUCACGGAGAAUUAGGACUGUUACCUUGAAAAAAUUAGAGUGUUUAAAGCAGGCUCACGCUUGAAUACAUUAGCAUGGAAUAAUGAAAUAGGACAUCCGAUUCUAUUUUGUUGGUUUCUAGGAUCGAUGUAAUGAUUAAUAGGGAUAGGUUGGGGGCAUUAGUAUUCAAUUGGUCAGAGGUGAAAUUCUUGGAUUUAUUGAAGACUAACUACUGCGAAAGCAUUUGCCAAGGAUGUUUUCAUUAAUCAAGAACGAAAGUUAGGGGAUCGAAGACGAUCAGAUACCGUCGUAGUCUUAACCAUAAACUAUGCCGACUAGGGAUCGGAUGAUGUUAAUUUUUAANGUACU
This 509-nucleotide ribosomal RNA is filed under the name uncultured Glomus. RNAcentral's name for it is "SSU rRNA". It matches the Rfam family "Eukaryotic small subunit ribosomal RNA", at positions 569 to 1078 of the family's 1831-position model. Lineage: Eukaryota; Fungi; Glomeromycota; Glomeromycetes; Glomerales; Glomeraceae. The record is from RNAcentral.